Molecule: ribosomal RNA, 433 nt
Filed under: uncultured bacterium
Lineage: Bacteria
Description: partial 16S ribosomal RNA
Rfam family: Bacterial small subunit ribosomal RNA
Source: RNAcentral
AACGAACGCUGGCGGCAUGCCUAACACAUGCAAGUCGAGCGAGACCUUCGGGUCUAGUGGCGCACGGGUGCGUAACGCGUGGGAACCUGCCCUUAGGUUCGGAAUAACUCCCCGAAAGGGGUGCUAAUACCGGAUAAUGUCUUCGGACCAAAGAUUUAUCGCCUUUGGAUGGGCCCGCGUUGGAUUAGCUAGUUGGUAGGGUAAAAGCCUACCAAGGCGACGAUCCAUAGCUGGUCUGAGAGGAUGAUCAGCCACACUGGGACUGAGACACGGCCCAGACUCCUACGGGAGGCAGCAGUGGGGAAUAUUGGACAAUGGGCGAAAGCCUGAUCCAGCAAGGCCGCGUGAGUGAUGAAGGCCUUAGGGUUGUAAAGCUCUUUUACCCGGGAUGAUAAUGACAGUACCGGGAGAAUAAGCUCCGGCUAACUCCGUG